RNAcentral lists this long non-coding RNA (1396 nucleotides) under Dromaius novaehollandiae (emu). RNAcentral describes it as "lncRNA (ENSDNVG00000017319.1)". The record is from RNAcentral. Lineage: Eukaryota; Metazoa; Chordata; Aves; Casuariiformes; Dromaiidae.
GCAAGGUCUCGGUGCUUGCACGUGGGUUUGGGUCAUAACUGUCUGAUGACACCUUGGAACUAGUUGGGAGCGGUUAGCUGCAGCAGGGCRUCCAUAACGCACAUGAUUGCAGGCCGUGUCCCCUCCUGUUGGGCCGGGGGGGGGGGGGGGGGCACAUGUCUAAACUUUCGAAGCAAGGAGUCCAUCCAAAAUUGUGCAAAGUGCCUUCUCCCAGGGGUGGGUGCCUGUGGCUCCAUAAAAAGAGGUGCGGAGGGAAGCCCUGCUGUCACUGAGGGAUAGGAGCCACCACGGUGUCCUCAGUGGGGUCGGUCACGGGAAGAGUGAGAGCAGGUCCAGUUUCGGUGAGUCCGGCGGGAGAGUCGGGAGUUGGCUUGGUGCGUCGGUAGGCUUGGGCGGGGGGAUGGUUCUUUUGCUGACAUGUCUUGUGUUUGUACUCUGCGAACUGGCYGAGUGAGAAUAAAAUGUGUUGUAACCCUUCCUAAACUGUGUGGUCAUGUGUGGUGGUGUUGAUGCUGGGUCAGGCAGUCGGCGGGAGGAGGGCAGCGGGUGGGGGACACGAAUUGCGAGGAGCCGUGUGCCGGGCGGUCGGCGUGGGGCACAGAGCCAAUGGCUCUGGGGGAGCGGAGGGGCAGGGACAGGGACCUYGGGUUUUGGUUGUGGCUUGCCGCUGUGCGGUGGAGGGUCUGGGUGGGAGAGGGGGGAAGAGGGAGGCAGUGGUCCUCUCCCUUUGGGUUGUGUGCACAUAUGGGGGGCAGGGACUUGGGGGUCUUACCUGUGUGCAGCCUAUUAAUGCUCUCUGCUUCCAUCCUUCUGGCUGUCCUUGGCAAUCCCUGCGGUGGAGAACUGGAGGAGGUCACCGAGCCCCAGGAGAGGAAUUGCAGCCGGGAAGGGUUCUUGCGGUCCGAGCGAGGAGCUGCAGCGUCGGUCGGUCAGAGUGAGGCAUCCCAGCGUUCGGAUCCCUGCAGGGAUGACAGCGCAGGAUGUGCAGGAAGAUAUUUCAAUGUGGGCAGUAGUGGAAGCAACGUGCCACGUACCAGGACCCUGACAGCCUGCAGAAAGGAUUUGUGAGCAACACUUCGGAGCAUGCUGAAGGCUGUGUGAAGAAAGGAGGACUUGUCCACUUGCCUCAUGGAGAGACUAGAGAAUUUGUCAGUAUGACUGAAGGAGCGGCAGGAGGAGGAGGAAUGUAUCCAGUGCGAAGAAGCGGUCAGGAAGGCAUCCCUGGAGAGAUGGCAUCAGUCUUCUCGCCAUGUGGCUCUUGUGGCCCCAGCGGACUUAUCUAUGAUGUUUGGCGCGGUGGUGAAGGGUGUGUGUGGGGUCCUUUGGUGUGGGCUUGCAGUCUUGUCUAUAUCUGUGAAGAAAGAGGCCUGUCAAUAAAGGAUGGCUUUGUGCUGCA